AUUGAACGCUGGCGGCAGGCCUAACACAUGCAAGUCGAGCGGCAGCGGGAAAGUAGCUUGCUACUUUUGCCGGCGAGCGGCGGACGGGUGAGUAAUGCCUGGGAAAUUGCCCAGUCGAGGGGGAUAACAGUUGGAAACGACUGCUAAUACCGCAUACGCCCUACGGGGGAAAGCAGGGGACCUUCGGGCCUUGCGCGAUUGGAUAUGCCCAGGUGGGAUUAGCUAGUUGGUGAGGUAAUGGCUCACCAAGGCGACGAUCCCUAGCUGGUCUGAGAGGAUGAUCAGCCACACUGGAACUGAGACACGGUCCAGACUCCUACGGGAGGCAGCAGUGGGGAAUAUUGCACAAUGGGGGAAACCCUGAUGCAGCCAUGCCGCGUGUGUGAAGAAGGCCUUCGGGUUGUAAAGCACUUUAAGUCGGGAGGAAGGGCUGUAGGCUAAUACCUUGCAGUUUUGACGUUACCGACAGAAUAAGCACCGGCUAACUUCGUGCCAGCCGCCGCGGUAA
RNAcentral lists this ribosomal RNA (508 nucleotides) under uncultured bacterium. RNAcentral's name for it is "partial 16S ribosomal RNA". It matches the Rfam family "Bacterial small subunit ribosomal RNA", at positions 30 to 523 of the family's 1533-position model. The record is from RNAcentral.